CCUACGGGCGGCAGCAGUGGGGAAUAUUGCACAAUGGGGGAAACCCUGAUGCAGCAACGCCGCGUGAGUGAUGACUGCCCUCCGGUUUGUAAACUCCUUUUUUAAGGGAGUUAAUUGAGGUACGUGAGGCUUAAUCCACGGAUAACUUCGUGCCGGCAGCGGCGGCAAUGCGGAGGCAGCGAGCGUUGUCCGGAUUAACUGGGCGUAAAGGGAGCGUAGUCGGAUUGUUAAGUGAGAUGUGAAAUUCUCGGGCUCAACGUGAGUGCUGCAUUUCAUACUGGAAGUCUGGAGUGCAGGAGAGGAGAACGGAAUUCGUGGUGUAGCGGUGAAAUGCGUAGAGAUCAGGAAGAACACCGGUGGCGAAGGCGGUUCUCUGAACUGCAACUGACGUUGAGGCUCGAAAGCGUGGGGAGCAAACAGGAUUAGAUACCCUGGUAGUC
This 440-nucleotide ribosomal RNA is filed under the name uncultured bacterium. RNAcentral describes it as "partial 16S ribosomal RNA". It matches the Rfam family "Bacterial small subunit ribosomal RNA", at positions 338 to 795 of the family's 1533-position model. The record is from RNAcentral.